AUUGAACGCUGGCGGCAGGCCUAACACAUGCAAGUCGAACGGUAACAGGAAGAAGCUUGCUUCUUUGCUGACGAGUGGCGGACGGGUGAGUAAUGUCUGGGAAACUGCCUGAUGGAGGGGGAUAACUACUGGAAACGGUAGCUAAUACCGCAUAACGUCGCAAGACCAAAGAGGUGGACCUUCGGGCCUCUUGCCAUCGGAUGCGCCCAGAUGGGAUUAGCUAGUAGGUGGGGUAACGGCUCACCUAGGCGACGAUCCCUAGCUGGUCUGAGAGGAUGACCAGCCACACUGGAACUGAGACACGGUCCAGACUCCUACGGGAGGCAGCAGUGGGGAAUAUUGCACAAUGGGCGCAAGCCUGAUGCAGCCAUGCCGCGUGUAUGAAGAAGGCCUUCGGGUUGUAAAGUACUUUCAGCGGGGAGGAAGGGAGUAAAGUUAAUACCUUUGCUCAUUGACGUUACCCGCAGAAGAAGCACCGGCUAACUCCGUG
RNAcentral lists this ribosomal RNA (490 nucleotides) under uncultured bacterium. RNAcentral's name for it is "partial 16S ribosomal RNA". It matches the Rfam family "Bacterial small subunit ribosomal RNA", at positions 30 to 507 of the family's 1533-position model. The record is from RNAcentral.